UUAAAGUAUAGAUAUGUCUCUGCUAUCAGCUGUGGUUCUAUAAUAGCUGGCAAUACGUCUGCUGUAUCAGGGGCUGCCUGCCAAUAAUAAGCAGAAAUACAUGUGAUUUUAUGCUUCAAUAGCGUGUAAUCCUUAAAACUAUUCUGUUAUCUCUGAGUAAUAGCUCACCAUUGCUAUGUGUUAAAUUACUGCCUUUACUACAGACACUGCGCUUUAAUUGCUUCCAAAGGAUGGUUGCCGCUGUUCUAUCAAAAAACCCUACCCCGUGAAAAUUCCCUACCCUCGUCACUUCCGGUGACGUGGCCGCACCGGAAGUGACUAGGAAAAGCUCUAGGACGGGGGGGAGCGCCGCCACGCAAGCGCACAACUACUAGGUAGGGAAAUUUCACAUUGAGCAGGGGAAAAUAACGGCACAGUGCGCACGCGCGGCACAGUACUCCCAUCGGAGUACCCCAGCCAGAGGGACUGCCCCACAUCUGCAACCAAAUCCGUCGGUCACCGAAUUCAGUAAUCUCUGUCUCUUUGUCCAUUCUGUAUGUAUGGUACUCCCAAUUCUUUUAUUUAAUCCGGUGUGUCUCCCACAAUCUUUGUGUCUGUCUGCUGUAUGUAUGUGGCACGCAAGUCUGCAUGCACUGUGUCUGUUAUGCCAUUUACUCUAACCAGUUUUUCUUUAGUUUUUUUGUGUGUGUCACAACUCUGACAAGCAUGUUCUCCUACGGGACACAAAGUACAUGAAGAGGAAUGAAGAAGCCCAUGUUUGAUACUCGUCUCCAGGGUGGAGUAUUGAAUUUAUAAGUACUGAAGUGGCAUCUGGCACGUGACAAGCUGCUCCUGUUUGCACAGCGACUUCAACAUUGUGUACUGUGAUCACGGCUUAGUUCAGAGGUAGGUAACCUUGGGCAGUCCAGUUGCUGUGAAUUACACCUCCCAUAAUGCUGCAAAGCAUUAUGGAAGGUGUAAUCCAAAACAUCUGGAAUACCGAAUGCGUAUGAAUGAAAAGUAUGGUGUGUGUGAAUGGUCAGUAACAAGGGUUGAAGCCUUGACGUGACGUUACUGCUCACAUGUGUAUCCAUGUGCCAAUUCAACCAAUGUGAGUGACUGUAAUACUUAUGAGGUAACCAUAAAUACCGUGACUAUGGAGAAUUAAAUGCCUGUAUCACCUAAACACUGCUUAUACUGUGACCGUAUCUCCUAAACACUGCGGCCGCACAGGGCGCCAUGGAGCAGGGGGCGCCGUGCGGCUGACACAGCUCACACAUGGCUGGCCGGCAUCUAAAAAAGAAAAUUUGCGGCGGGGGCAGAGCUAAAGGUGCCAGAUAACUGCUGCAGGGGAAGCAGGAAGGAGUGGGGGGGGCGCUGUGAUGAUUUUUGGCACAUGGCGCCUAAAGGCCUAAGGCCGGCCCUGCUCUGUUGCAUUAGACCCAAUUCUGAGAUUAUGACCGAACCCUAAAGCACUUAAAAUGUUUAUGAUAUUUUAUUUAUGUAUUUUGAAUGUUGUGCAAAGACGCCAGAUGGUCACUGUUCCACUUCUAUUCCAGUGGCCAUGAAGGGCAGGUGAAGGUAGUUUUUACUUGACUUAAAAUGUCCUUUGUAUGCAUCUUCUUUCUCAAUGUCCUCUUCAGCUCCUGGAGCGUUAAUCUGCCAGGAGCCAACGGAAGCGCUCUACUCAAGUGUAUGCAUUAGCUCUGUCUUUUGUCAAAAGUAGAAAAAAUACUUAAGAUAAAGUUGUUCCUGUGGGCGUCGCAGAGAUGCUUUAAGUCAAAAUUGAAAGCGCUCUAUCAUUCUUUCUAUUGUACGCCUCUAAUCCUCUACAUGGAAAUUGUAGUUUGUAAAAAUAGAAAAUAUGUAGAUUGUAAUAUGCUUUCUGGUUACGUUCUGGUGAGUUUUAACUUAAUUUUCGAUUUUUACAGCUCCCAAGGGAAGGAGCAAACCGCCUUGAGGAGUCCCUGCAUAAGAGACUAUUGGAUACAGAAGGCUGUACUAAAGGAAGAUCUCAUCACAGCAUCAUCCAAGCCCUAGUCAGGAGUAUAUGAGGCCUCUUUAGAGUAAAGAGCGGCUAACAAUAUCUGAUAAUAGGCCACAUGUGCAAUUAUUAUGUAUAUAAUUAAUGUACAACAUACUUUUUCACUUUUUUGUUACAUUAGAGAUUAACAAAUAUUGUUAGAGUUUUUGUUUAC
Molecule: long non-coding RNA, 2177 nt
Filed under: Pelobates cultripes (western spadefoot toad)
Lineage: Eukaryota; Metazoa; Chordata; Amphibia; Anura; Pelobatidae
Source: RNAcentral